AGCCGGGCAGUGGUGGCACACACUUUU
RNAcentral lists this microRNA (27 nucleotides) under Mus musculus (house mouse). RNAcentral's name for it is "mmu-miR-1946a". Lineage: Eukaryota; Metazoa; Chordata; Mammalia; Rodentia; Muridae. The record is from miRBase by way of RNAcentral.